RNAcentral lists this ribosomal RNA (253 nucleotides) under uncultured bacterium. Its description in RNAcentral is "partial 16S ribosomal RNA". It matches the Rfam family "Bacterial small subunit ribosomal RNA", at positions 524 to 776 of the family's 1533-position model. The record is from RNAcentral.
UACGAAGGGGGCGAGCGUUGUUCGGAAUUACUGGGCGUAAAGCGCGUGUAGGCGGCCCUGCAAGUCGGGUGUGAAAUCCCACGGCUCAACCGUGGAAGUGCACUCGAAACUGCAGGGCUAGAGUCCUGGAGAGGAAGGUGGAAUGCUUGGUGUAGAGGUGAAAUUCGUAGAUAUCAAGCGGAACACCGGUGGCGAAGGCGGUCUUCUGGACAGUGACUGACGCUGAGACGCGAAAGCGUGGGGAGCAAACAGG